RNAcentral lists this ribosomal RNA (468 nucleotides) under uncultured bacterium. Its description in RNAcentral is "partial 16S ribosomal RNA". It matches the Rfam family "Bacterial small subunit ribosomal RNA", at positions 28 to 507 of the family's 1533-position model. The record is from RNAcentral.
GACGAACGCUGGCGGCGUGCUUAACACAUGCAAGUCGAACGGAAAGGCCCUGCUUUUGUGGGGUGCUCGAGUGGCGAACGGGUGAGUAACACGUGAGUAACCUGCCCUUGACUUUGGGAUAACUUCAGGAAACUGGGGCUAAUACCGGAUAGGAGCUCCUGCUGCAUGGUGGGGGUUGGAAAGUUUCGGCGGUUGGGGAUGGACUCGCGGCUUAUCAGCUUGUUGGUGGGGUAGUGGCUUACCAAGGCUUUGACGGGUAGCCGGCCUGAGAGGGUGACCGGGCACAUUGGGACUGAGAUACGGCCCAGACUCCUACGGGGGGCAGCAGUGGGGAAUAUUGCACAAUGGGCGGAAGCCUGAUGCAGCAACGCCGCGUGCGGGAUGACGGCCUUCGGGUUGUAAACCGCUUUCGCCUGUGACGAAGCGUGAGUGACGGUAAUGGGUAAAGAAGCACCGGCUAACUACGUG